RNAcentral lists this long non-coding RNA (552 nucleotides) under Capra hircus (goat). RNAcentral describes it as "lncRNA (ENSCHIG00010004431.1)". The record is from RNAcentral. Lineage: Eukaryota; Metazoa; Chordata; Mammalia; Artiodactyla; Bovidae.
AAUAUACAGAAAUGCGCGAGGCGGUGGUUGGUUUUCGUUUCUUCUUGGUGGUUGUGGGCAUGCAGUGGAAUUGUUGAGAGUGCGUGUGUGAGCUAUGGACAGUGUUGACUUCUGAGUGUGGUCUUCCAGGCGACAGGUUGUGUGUCCCAAGUGUGAUGGUGCUUGUGCUGUUCGGUGUAUAGAUUUGGAUUCUCCGAGGCCCUUCUGCGUUUUCAUCGUUGUAGAUACAAUUAUGCUCGUUUGCCUUCUCGACAUGCUGGAAGCUGAGCAGCGUUCGCGGAGGCCCGCGCCUUCAAGCCGGUAGCCGCCAGCUUCGGUUCCCGCGGCACUCAGGCUUCGUCCAUUUCUGACCGCCCAGGACCACACCGCGGCCUAACUGGCCUAACUGCCGGGCUCUCGGUGAGAGACGGGGAGAGCAAAGACCCCGGUCCACAACCUGGACCUCGACUCCCACCUCUCUCUGGCCGGAGGAGUGGAGAUCCUAUUCAGAGGGGCCCGUCUCUCUAAAUAUGCCCCAGGAUGACGGAGCAGCCGCCGAGCGAGGCGGCACAC